RNAcentral lists this transfer RNA (65 nucleotides) under Castor canadensis (American beaver). RNAcentral's name for it is "tRNA-Lys". Lineage: Eukaryota; Metazoa; Chordata; Mammalia; Rodentia; Castoridae. The record is from RNAcentral.
CAUUAUGAAGCUACAGCAGCGUUAACCUUUUAAGUUAGAGAUAGAGAGUAAUCUCUCCAUAAUGA